UGGGGAAUAUUGCACAAUGGGGGAAACCCUGAUGCAGCGACGCCGCGUGAAGGAAGAAGUAUCUCGGUAUGUAAACUUCUAUCAGCAGGGAAGAAAAUGACGGUACCUGACUAAGAAGCCCCGGCUAACUACGUG
RNAcentral lists this ribosomal RNA (135 nucleotides) under uncultured bacterium. RNAcentral describes it as "partial 16S ribosomal RNA". It matches the Rfam family "Bacterial small subunit ribosomal RNA", at positions 355 to 507 of the family's 1533-position model. The record is from RNAcentral.